ACGACUCUCAGCAACGGAUAUCUUGGCUCUUGCAACGAUGAAGAACGCAGCGAAAUGCGAUACGUAGUGUGAAUUGCAGAAUUCCGCGAAUCAUCGAGUCUUUGAACGCAACUUGCGCCCGC
This 122-nucleotide ribosomal RNA is filed under the name Alsophila firma. RNAcentral describes it as "5.8S ribosomal RNA". It matches the Rfam family "5.8S ribosomal RNA", at positions 1 to 120 of the family's 154-position model. From Rfam's summary of the family: 5.8S ribosomal RNA (5.8S rRNA) is a component of the large subunit of the eukaryotic ribosome. It is transcribed by RNA polymerase I as part of the 45S precursor that also contains 18S and 28S rRNA. The record is from RNAcentral. Lineage: Eukaryota; Viridiplantae; Streptophyta; Polypodiopsida; Cyatheales; Cyatheaceae.